CUUUGAAGCCUGCCAAAUCUGCUGGAUUUGUUAAACGAAGUGGACAGGGUCUCAAAAUUGGCAGGAUCCUCCAAGUACAACUUCAACUGGGCCGCUCUUUUUGCUGUCCCAAACCUAACGACCGGCGCUCUGGUCAUCCCAUCUCUCAACAGGACACUUGUGGCUCCACCAGAUAAGUGAAUGGCCUUGCAACCCCUAUUGGUGCUGGCUACCAAGCACCCUUCAGUGGUAGCCAUGGGAACCGA
This 245-nucleotide unclassified non-coding RNA is filed under the name Hevea brasiliensis (rubber tree). Lineage: Eukaryota; Viridiplantae; Streptophyta; Magnoliopsida; Malpighiales; Euphorbiaceae. The record is from RNAcentral.